CCUACGGGUGGCAGCAGUGAGGAAUAUUGGUCAAUGGGCGCGAGCCUGAACCAGCCAAGUAGCGUGAAGGAUGAAUGCCCUACGGGUUGUACACUUCUUUUAUAACAGAAUAAAGUGAGGCACGUGUGCCUUUUUGUAUGUACUUUAUGCAUAAGGAUCGGCUAACUCCGUGCCAGCAGCCGCGGUAAUACGGAGGAUCCGAGCGUUAUCCGGAUUUAUUGGGUUUAAAGGGAGCGUAGGUGGGUUGUUAAGUCAGGUGUGAAAGUUUGCGGCGCAACCGUAAAAUUGCAGUUGAUACUGGCAGUCUUGAGUACAGUUGAGGUAGGCGGAAUUCGUGGUGUAGCGGUGAAAUGCUUAGAUAUCACGAAGAACUCCGAUUGCGAAGGCAGCUUACUAAACUGCAACUGACACUGAUGCUCGAAAGUGUGGGUAUCAAACAGGAUUAGAUACCCGUGUAGUC
This 460-nucleotide ribosomal RNA is filed under the name uncultured bacterium. RNAcentral describes it as "partial 16S ribosomal RNA". It matches the Rfam family "Bacterial small subunit ribosomal RNA", at positions 338 to 795 of the family's 1533-position model. The record is from RNAcentral.